GACGAACGCUGGCGGCGUGCUUAACACAUGCAAGUCGAACGGAAAGGCCCGGCUUUUGUGUUGUUCUCGAUUGGCGAACGGGGGAGUAACACGUGAGUAACCUGCCCUUAUCUUUGUGGUAACUUCAGGAAACUGGGGCGAUUACCGGGGAUGAUCUUCUGCUCCAUGUGGGUGGUUGGUAAGUGUCGGCGUUGGUGGAUGUACUCGCUGCUUAUCAGCUUGUUUGGGGGGUAGUGGAGUACCAAGGCUUUGACGGGUAGCCCGCCUGAGAGCGUGAACGGGCACCUUGGGACUGAGAUACGGACCAGAAGCCUAUGGGAGGCAGCAGUGGGGAAUCUUGCACAAUGGGCGGAAGCCUGAUGCAGCAACGUCGCGUGCGUGAUGCCGGGUUACGGGUUGUAAACAGAUUUGGAAUGUGACGAAGAGUGAGUGACGGUAAUGGGUAAAGAAGCACCGGCUAACUACGUG
RNAcentral lists this ribosomal RNA (468 nucleotides) under uncultured bacterium. RNAcentral describes it as "partial 16S ribosomal RNA". It matches the Rfam family "Bacterial small subunit ribosomal RNA", at positions 28 to 507 of the family's 1533-position model. The record is from RNAcentral.